GUCGAGUUGUAGCUUUUGGAAGCAGGGUAAAAGUUCUUUUGAAUAAGACAUCAAAGAGGGUGAGAAUCCCGUCAUUUUUUCUGUGAGUCGGGUUGUUUGGGAAUGCAGCCCUAAUUGGGAGGUAAAUUUCUUCCAAAGCUAAAUAUUAGUAAGAGACCGAUAGCAAACAAGUACCGUGAGGGAAAGAUGAAAAGCACUUUGAAAAGAGAGUGAAAAGUACGUGAAAUUGUUAAAAGGGAACCGGUUGGUAGCCAAGCAUUGAGGGUCAACAUCGAUUGCCAGAAAAGGUAGGGGGUCUGUUAUAGCGGUGGUGGUGAUCGAGGACUGCAGCGCGUUUUUUAAACGCAUUGUAGUUGCGUUAUGGUAGACAGCACUAAUCAGCGCUUUGGAUGUUGGCGAAAAGGCACUAAUCGACCCGUCUUGAAACACGGACCAAGGAGUCCAACAUGCAUGCGAGUAUCUGGGUAAACCCAUAUGCGCAAUGAAAGUGAAUAGAAUGUAACCGGGCAGCAUCGACCGACUUUAGAUAGCGUUGCUUGAAAAGGUUGAGUAAGAGCAUGUAUGCUGGGACCCGAAAGAUGGUGAACUAUGCCUGAAUAGGGUGAAGUCAGAGGAAACUCUGAUGGAAGCUCGUAGAGAUUCUGACGUGCAAAUCGAUCUCCAAAUUUGGGUAUAGGGGCGAAAG
This 685-nucleotide ribosomal RNA is filed under the name Smittium sp. GB-X-1. RNAcentral's name for it is "eukaryotic LSU rRNA". It matches the Rfam family "Eukaryotic large subunit ribosomal RNA", at positions 142 to 929 of the family's 3401-position model. The record is from RNAcentral. Lineage: Eukaryota; Fungi; Kickxellomycota; Harpellomycetes; Harpellales; Legeriomycetaceae.